CCCUUAGAUGUUCUGGGCCGCACGCGUGCUACACUGAGUGGAUCAGCGGGUCAGGUUGCGCGAAAGUGUUUCCUAAUCUUUAAAUCCGCUCGUGAUGGGGAUUGACGGUUGCAAUUUUCCGUCAUGAACGAGGAAUUCCUUGUAAGCGCGGGUCAUCAUCCCGCGCUGAAUACGUCCCUGCCCUUUGUACACACCGCCCGUCGCUCCUACCGAUUGAGUGGUCCGGUGAGGCUUUGGGAUCUGAGCGGAAAGAGCGUUUCGCUGUUUCUGCCCGGAAAACUCAGUCGAACCUUAUCAUUUAGAGGAAGGAGAAGUCGUAACA
This 322-nucleotide ribosomal RNA is filed under the name uncultured eukaryote. RNAcentral's name for it is "partial 18S ribosomal RNA". It matches the Rfam family "Eukaryotic small subunit ribosomal RNA", at positions 1470 to 1796 of the family's 1831-position model. The record is from RNAcentral.